This 466-nucleotide ribosomal RNA is filed under the name uncultured bacterium. RNAcentral's name for it is "partial 16S ribosomal RNA". It matches the Rfam family "Bacterial small subunit ribosomal RNA", at positions 28 to 506 of the family's 1533-position model. The record is from RNAcentral.
GACGAACGCUGGCGGCGUGCUUAACACAUGCAAGUCGAACGGAAAGGCUCCAGCUUGCUGGAGUACUCGAGUGGCGAACGGGUGAGUAACACGUGGGUAAUCUGCCCUGCACUCUGGGAUAAGCCUGGGAAACUGGGUCUAAUACUGGAUAUGACCUUUCUCCUUAUGGGGUUUGGUGGAAAGUUUUUCGGUGUAGGAUGAGCCCGCGGCCUAUCAGCUUGUUGGUGGGGUGAUGGCCUACCAAGGCGACGACGGGUAGCCGGCCUGAGAGGGUGAUCGGCCACAUUGGGACUGAGAUACGGCCCAGACUCCUACGGGAGGCAGCAGUGGGGAAUAUUGCACAAUGGGCGGAAGCCUGAUGCAGCGACGCCGCGUGAGGGAGGACGGCCUUCGGGUUGUAAACCUCUUUCAGCAGGGACGAAGCGUAAGUGACGGUACCUGCAGAAGAAGCACCGGCUAACUAUGU